This 445-nucleotide ribosomal RNA is filed under the name uncultured bacterium. RNAcentral describes it as "bacterial SSU rRNA". It matches the Rfam family "Bacterial small subunit ribosomal RNA", at positions 331 to 793 of the family's 1533-position model. The record is from RNAcentral.
CCAGACUCCUACGGGAGGCAGCAGUGGGGAAUAUUGCACAAUGGGGGAAACCCUGAUGCAGCGACGCCGCGUGAGUGAAGAAGUAUCUCGGUAUGUAAAGCUCUAUCAGCAGGGAAGAAAAUGACGGUACCUGACUAAGAAGCCACGGCUAACUACGUGCCAGCAGCCGCGGUAAUACGUAGGUGGCAAGCGUUAUCCGGAUUUACUGGGUGUAAAGGGCGUGUAGGCGGGACUGCAAGUCAGAUGUGAAAACCACGGGCUCAACCUGUGGCCUGCAUUUGAAACUGUAGUUCUUGAGUACUGGAGAGGCAGACGGAAUUCCUAGUGUAGCGGUGAAAUGCGUAGAUAUUAGGAGGAACACCAGUGGCGAAGGCGGUCUGCUGGACGGUGACUGACGCUGAGGCUCGAAAGCGUGGGGAGCAAACAGGAUUAGAUACCCCCGUAC